GGAUUGUGGUUCAGUGGUAGAGCGCUUGCCUCUCACGUGCAGGAUCCUGGGUUCGAUCCUCAGCACCA
This 68-nucleotide transfer RNA is filed under the name Marmota monax (woodchuck). Its description in RNAcentral is "tRNA.Glu". Lineage: Eukaryota; Metazoa; Chordata; Mammalia; Rodentia; Sciuridae. The record is from RNAcentral.